CAGCCGCCGCGGUAAUACAGAGGGUGCGAGCGUUAAUCGGAUUUACUGGGCGUAAAGCGUGCGCAGGCGGUUCGUUAAGACAGAUGUGAAAUCCCCGGGCUUAACCUGGGAACUGCAUUUGUGACUGACGGGCUAGAGUAUGGCAGAGGGGGGUAGAAUUCCACGUGUAGCAGUGAAAUGCGUAGAGAUGUGGAGGAAUACCGAUGGCGAAGGCAGCCCCCUGGGCCAAUACUGACGCUCAUGCACGAAAGCGUGGGGAGCAAACAGGAUUAGAUACCCCGGUAGUCCCUGUCUCUUAUAC
This 301-nucleotide ribosomal RNA is filed under the name uncultured bacterium. RNAcentral describes it as "partial 16S ribosomal RNA". It matches the Rfam family "Bacterial small subunit ribosomal RNA", at positions 509 to 807 of the family's 1533-position model. The record is from RNAcentral.